CCUACGGGUGACAGCAGUGGGGAAUUUUGCGCAAUGCUCGUAAGAGUGACGCAGCGACGCCGCGUGAAUGACGACGGCCUUCGGGUCGUAAAGUUCUUUCGACAGGGAAGAAAAUGCCUAUAAGCAACUCUGUCUGUAUUGAUCGUACCUGUAUAAGCAGCCCCGGCUAACUCCGUGCCAGCAGCCGCGGUAAUACGGAGGGGCCGAGCGUUGUUCGGAGUGACUGGGCUUAAAGAGCACGUAGGCGGUGUUGUAAGUGAUUAGUCAAAGACUAGAGCUCAACUUUAGUAAGGCUAGUGAUACUGUAAGACUAGAGUAUCAGAGAGGAUUGCAGAAUGCCUGGUGUAGCGGUGAAAUGCGUAGAUAUCAGGAGGAAUACCGUUAGCGAAGGCAGCAAUCUGGCUGGAAACUGACGCUGAGGUGCGAAAGCGUGGGUAGCAAACAGGAUUAGAUACCCGUGUAGUC
Molecule: ribosomal RNA, 465 nt
Filed under: uncultured bacterium
Lineage: Bacteria
Description: partial 16S ribosomal RNA
Rfam family: Bacterial small subunit ribosomal RNA
Source: RNAcentral